This 194-nucleotide ribosomal RNA is filed under the name uncultured Bacillus sp. RNAcentral's name for it is "partial 16S ribosomal RNA". It matches the Rfam family "Bacterial small subunit ribosomal RNA", at positions 338 to 524 of the family's 1533-position model. The record is from RNAcentral. Lineage: Bacteria; Bacillati; Bacillota; Bacilli; Caryophanales; Bacillaceae.
CCUACGGGAGGCAGCAGUAGGGAAUCUUCCACAAUGGACGAAAGUCUGAUGGAGCAACGCCGCGUGAGCGAUGAAGGCCUUCGGGUCGUAAAGCUCUGUUGAUAGGGAAGAACAAGUACCGGAGUAACUGCCGGUACCUUGACGGUACCUAACCAGAAAGCCACGGCUAACUACGUGCCAGCAGCCGCGGUAAU